RNAcentral lists this ribosomal RNA (921 nucleotides) under uncultured bacterium. Its description in RNAcentral is "bacterial SSU rRNA". It matches the Rfam family "Bacterial small subunit ribosomal RNA", at positions 8 to 882 of the family's 1533-position model. The record is from RNAcentral.
AGAGUUUGAUCAUGGCUCAGGAUGAACGCUGGCGGCGUGCGUAAUACAUGCAAGUCGAACGAACUUCCCGUUGAUUGAUUAUGACGUACUUGUACUGAUUGAGAUUUUAACACGAAGUGAGUGGCGAACGGGUGAGUAACACGUGGGUAACCUGCCCAGAAGUAGGGGAUAACACCUGGAAACAGAUGCUAAUACCGUAUAACAGAGAAAACCGCAUGGUUUUCUUUUAAAAGAUGGCUCUGCUAUCACUUCUGGAUGGACCCGCGGCGUAUUAGCUAGUUGGUGAGGUAAAGGCUCACCAAGGCAGUGAUACGUAGCCGACCUGAGAGGGUAAUCGGCCACAUUGGGACUGAGACACGGCCCAGACUCCUACGGGAGGCAGCAGUAGGGAAUCUUCCACAAUGGACGCAAGUCUGAUGGAGCAACGCCGCGUGAGUGAAGAAGGGUUUCAGCUCGUAAAGCUCUGUUGUUAAAGAAGAACGUGGGUAAGAGUAACUGUUUACCCAGUGACGGUAUUUAACCAGAAAGCCACGGCUAACUACGUGCCAGCAGCCGCGGUAAUACGUAGGUGGCAAGCGUUAUCCGGAUUUAUUGGGCGUAAAGCGAGCGCAGGCGGUCUUUUAAGUCUAAUGUGAAAGCCUUCGGCUCAACUGAAGAAGUGCAUUGGAAACUGGGAGACUUGAGUGCAGAAGAGGACAGUGGAACUCCAUGUGUAGCGGUGAAAUGCGUAGAUAUAUGGAAGAACACCAGUGGCGAAGGCGGCUGUCUGGUCUGCAACUGACGCUGAGGCUCGAAAGCAUGGGUAGCGAACAGGAUUAGAUACCCUGGUAGUCCAUGCCGUAAACGAUGAUUACUAAGUGUUGGAGGGUUUCCGCCCUUCAGUGCUGCGGCUAACGCAUUAAGUAAUCCGCCUGGGGAGUA